This 1033-nucleotide ribosomal RNA is filed under the name Polystigma pusillum. RNAcentral describes it as "bacterial SSU rRNA". It matches the Rfam family "Eukaryotic small subunit ribosomal RNA", at positions 71 to 1097 of the family's 1831-position model. Lineage: Eukaryota; Fungi; Ascomycota; Sordariomycetes; Phyllachorales; Phyllachoraceae. The record is from RNAcentral.
GCAUUAUACCGCGAACUGCGAAUGGCUCAUUAAUCAGUUAUCGUUUAUUCCAUACUACCUUACUACUUGGAUAACCGUGGUAAUUCUAGAGCUAAUACAUGCUAAAAACCCCGUCCAGGGGUGUGUUUAUUAGAUUAAAAACCAAUGCCCUCCGGGGCUUUCCUCUGGUGAAUUCCAUGAUAACCUCUUCGGAACCGCCAUUGGCCCUUUGUGCCCGGCGGGUGGUUCAUUCAAAUUUCUGGCCCUAAUCAAACUUUCGAUGGCUGGGUCUUGGCCAGGCCAUGGUGACAACGGGUAACGGAGGGUUAGGGCUCGACCCCGGAGAGGGCGCCCGAGCAACGGCGACCACAUCCAAGGAAGGCAGCAGGCGCGCAAAUUACCCAAUCCCGACUCGGGGAGGUAGUGACAAUAAAUACUGAUGCAGGGCGCUUACGUGUCUUGCAAUUGGAAUGAGUACAAUUUAAAUCCCUUAACGAGGAACAAUUGGAGGGCAAGUCUGGUGCCAGCAGCCGCGGUAAUUCCAGCUCCAAUAGCGUAUAUUAAAGUUGUUGAGGUUAAAAAGCUCGUAGUUGAACCUUGGGCUUGGCUGGCCGGUCCGCCUCACCGCGUGCACUGGUCCGGCCGGGUCUUUUCCUCCGGGGAGCCGCAUGCCCUUUUACCGGGUGUGCCGGGGAACCGGGACGUUUACUCUGAACAAAUUAGAUCGCUUAAAAGAAGGCCUUUGCUUGAAUACAUUAAGCAUGGAAUAAUGAAAUAGGACGUGUGGUUCUAUUUUGUUUUGGGUUUCUAGGACCGCCGUAAUGAUUAAUAGGGACAGUCGGGGGCGUCCGUAUUCAACUGUCAGAGGUGAAAUUCUUGGAUUUAGGUUGAAGACGAACUACUGCGAAAGCAUUCGCCAAGGAUGUUUUCAUUAAUCAGGAACGAAAGUUAGGGGAUCGAAGACGAUCAGAUACCGUCGUAGUCUUAACCAUAAACUAUGCCGAUUAGGGAUCAGGCGGUGUUAUUUUGUGACCCGCUCGGCACCUACGAAAAA